RNAcentral lists this ribosomal RNA (483 nucleotides) under uncultured bacterium. Its description in RNAcentral is "partial 16S ribosomal RNA". It matches the Rfam family "Bacterial small subunit ribosomal RNA", at positions 30 to 507 of the family's 1533-position model. The record is from RNAcentral.
UUGAACGCUGGCGGCAGGCCUAACACAUUCCAGUCGAGCGGAUGAAGGGAGCUUGCUCCUGGAUUCAGCGGCGGACGGGUGAGUAAUGCCUAGGAAUCUGCCUGGUAGUGGGGGAUAACGUCCGGAAACGGGCGCUAAUACCGCAUACGUCCUGAGGGAGAAAGUGGGGGAUCUUCGGACCUCACGCUAUCAGAUGAGCCUAGGUCGGAUUAGCUAGUUGGUGGGGUAAAGGCCUACCAAGGCGACGAUCCGUAACUGGUCUGAGAGGAUGAUCAGUCACACUGGAACUGAGACACGGUCCAGACUCCUACGGGAGGCAGCAGUGGGGAAUAUUGGACAAUGGGCGAAAGCCUGAUCCAGCCAUGCCGCGUGUGUGAAGAAGGUCUUCGGAUUGUAAAGCACUUUAAGUUGGGAGGAAGGGCAGUAAGUUAAUACCUUGCUGUUUUGACGUUACCAACAGAAUAAGCACCGGCUAACUUCGUG